This 455-nucleotide ribosomal RNA is filed under the name uncultured bacterium. RNAcentral's name for it is "bacterial SSU rRNA". It matches the Rfam family "Bacterial small subunit ribosomal RNA", at positions 8 to 507 of the family's 1533-position model. The record is from RNAcentral.
AGAGUUUGAUCAUGGCUCAGAGCGAACGUUUGCGGCGGGCCUAACACAUGCAAGUCGAACGGGCUAGCAAUAGUCAGUGGCGCACGGGUGAGUAACGCGUGAGAACGUACCCUUUAGUACGGAAUAACUGAGGGAAACUUCAGCUAAUACCGUAUACGCCCUUCGGGGGGAAAGAUUUAUCGCUAAAGGAUCGGCCCGCGUCUGAUUAGGUAGUUGGUGAGGUAAUGGCUCACCAAGCCUACGAUCAGUAGCUGGUCUGAGAGGAUGAUCAGCCACACUAGGACUGAGACACGGCCCAGACUCCUACGGGAGGCAGCAGGUGGGGAAUAUUGGACAAUGGGGGAAACCCUGAUCCAGCCAUGCCGCGUGAGUGAAGAAGGCCUUCGGGUUGUAAAGCUCUUUCGACGGGGAAGAUGAUGACGGUACUCGUAUAAGAAGCCCCGGCUAACUUCGUG